GGUCAAGUUAUUAAGGGUGCAGGGCGGAUGCCUUGGCACUAGGAGCCGAUGAAGGACGUGAUAAGCUGCGAUAAGCUUCGGGGAGUUGCACGUAAACUUUGAUCCGAAGAUUUCCGAAUGAGGAAACUCACUUAGAGUAAUGUCUAAGUAUCAUUAAGUGAAUACAUAGCUUAAUGAGGGGAACUCAGGGAACUGAAACAUCUAAGUACCUGAAGGAAGAGAAAGAAAUUCGAUUCCGUAAGUAGCGGCGAGCGAACGCGGAUUAGCCCAAACCAAUAAAGUUUUCUUUAUUGGGGUUGCGGACAUAUCAUAACGAAGAGGUAUCGUAAUUGAAGAGGUUUGGAAAGACCCACCACAGAAGGUAAUAGUCCUGUAUGUUAAACGAGAAGACUUCAGAUAUGAUCCAGAGUACCACGGGACACGUGAAACCCUGUGGGAAGCAGGAGGGACCACCCUCCAAGGCUAAAUACUACCUAGUGACCGAUAGCGUAUAGUACCGUGAGGGAAAGGUGAAAAGAACCCCGGGAGGGGAGUGAAAUAGAACCUGAAACCCUGCACUUACAAGCUGUGGAAGCACAUUUCUUGUGUGACCGCGUACUUUUUGUAGAACGGGCCAACGAGUUACGUUAAGUAGCAAG
This 638-nucleotide ribosomal RNA is filed under the name Clostridioides difficile. Its description in RNAcentral is "partial 23S ribosomal RNA". It matches the Rfam family "Bacterial large subunit ribosomal RNA", at positions 1 to 644 of the family's 2925-position model. The record is from RNAcentral. Lineage: Bacteria; Bacillati; Bacillota; Clostridia; Peptostreptococcales; Peptostreptococcaceae.